CUACGGGUGGCUGCAGUGAGGAAUAUUGCACAAUGGGGGGAACCCUGAUGCAGCAACGCCGCGUGGAGGAUGACGCAUUUCGGUGUGUAAACUCCUUUUAUAUGUCAAGAAAAUGACGGUAGCAUAUGAAUAAGCACCGGCUAACUCCGUGCCAGCAGCCGCGGUAAUACGGGAGGGUGCAAGCGUUACUCGGAAUCACUGGGCGUAAAGGACGCGUAGGCGGGUUGGAAAGUCAGGUGUGAAAUCCUACAGCUUAACUGUAGAACUGCACUUGAAACUUCUAAUCUAGAGUAUGGGAGGGGGAGAUGGAAUUAGUGGUGUAGGGGUAAAAUCCGUAGAUAUCACUAGGAAUACCUAAAGCGAAGGCGAUCUCCUGGAACAUUACUGACGCUAAGGCGUGGAAGCGUGGGGAGCAAACAGGAUUAGAUACCCUGGUAGUC
Molecule: ribosomal RNA, 440 nt
Filed under: uncultured bacterium
Lineage: Bacteria
Description: partial 16S ribosomal RNA
Rfam family: Bacterial small subunit ribosomal RNA
Source: RNAcentral